CGCGUAGGCGGCCUGGUAAGUCUGGAGUGAAAGUCCUGCUUUUAAGGUGGGAAUUGCUUUGGAUACUGCUGGGCUUGAGUGCAGGAGAGGUAAGUGGAAUUCCCGGUGUAGCGGUGAAAUGCGUAGAGAUCGGGAGGAACACCAGUGGCGAAGGCGACUGUCUGGUCUGCAACUGACGCUGAGGCUCGAAAGCAUGGGUAGCGAACA
Molecule: ribosomal RNA, 207 nt
Filed under: uncultured bacterium
Lineage: Bacteria
Description: partial 16S ribosomal RNA
Rfam family: Bacterial small subunit ribosomal RNA
Source: RNAcentral